CCUACGGGAGGCAGCAGUGGGGAAUAUUGGACAAUGGGGGGAACCCUGAUCCAGCCAUGCCGCGUGUGUGAAGAAGGCCCUCGGGGUGUAAAGCACUUUCAGUGAGGAAGAACGCCUGGUGGUUAAUACCCAUCAGGAAAGACAUCACUCACAGAAGAAGCACCGUCUAACUCCGUGCCAGCAGCCGCGGUAAUACGGAGGGUGCGAGCGUUAAUCGGAAUUACUGGGCGUAAAGCGCGCGUAGGUGGCUUGAUAAGCCGGUUGUGAAAGCCCCGGGCUCAACCUGGGAACGGCAUCCGGAACUGUCAAGCUAGAGUGCAGGAGAGGAAGGUAGAAUUCCCGGUGUAGCGGUGAAAUGCGUAGAGAUCGGGAGGAAUACCAGUGGCGAAGGCGGCCUUCUGGACUGACACUGACACUGAGGUGCGAAAGCGUGGGUAGCAAACAGGAUUAGAUACCCCAGUAGUC
This 465-nucleotide ribosomal RNA is filed under the name Vreelandella stevensii. RNAcentral describes it as "partial 16S ribosomal RNA". It matches the Rfam family "Bacterial small subunit ribosomal RNA", at positions 338 to 795 of the family's 1533-position model. Lineage: Bacteria; Pseudomonadati; Pseudomonadota; Gammaproteobacteria; Oceanospirillales; Halomonadaceae. The record is from RNAcentral.